UACGGAAGGCAGCAGUGGGGAAUAUUGCACAAUGGGCGAAAGCCUGAUGCAGCUAUGCCGCGUGUAUGAAGAAGGCCUUAGGGUUGUAAAGUACUUUCAUCGGGGAGGAAAAAACAAAACUAAUAAUUUUAUUUCUUGACGUUACCCGAAAAAGAAGCACCGGCUAACUCCGUGCCAGCAGCCGCGGUAAUACGGAGGGUGCUAGCGUUAAUCAGAAUUACUGGGCGUAAAGAGCACGUAGGUGGUUUUUUUAAAGUCAGAUGUGAAAUCCCUGGGCUUAACCUGGAACUGCAUUUUGAAACUGAAAUACUAGAGUAUCGUAGAGGGAGGUAGAAUUCUAGGUGUAGCGGUGAAAUGCGUAGAUAUCUGGAGGAAUACCUGUGGCGAAAGCGGCCUCCUAAACGAAUACUGACACUGAGGUGCGAAAGCGUGGGGAGCAAACAGGGAUUUAGAUACC
RNAcentral lists this ribosomal RNA (457 nucleotides) under uncultured bacterium. RNAcentral describes it as "bacterial SSU rRNA". It matches the Rfam family "Bacterial small subunit ribosomal RNA", at positions 340 to 786 of the family's 1533-position model. The record is from RNAcentral.